UCAGAAAGCCACGGCUAACUACGUGCCAGCAGCCGCGGUAAUACGUAGGUGGCAAGCGUUAUCCGGAAUUAUUGGGCGUAAAGCGCGCGUAGGCGGUUUUUUAAGUCUGAUGUGAAAGCCCACGGCUCAACCGUGGAGGGUCAUUGGAAACUGGAAAACUUGAGUGCAGAAGAGGAAAGUGGAAUUCCAUGUGUAGCGGUGAAAUGCGCAGAGAUAUGGAGGAACACCAGUGGCGAAGGCGACUUUCUGGUCUGUAACUGACGCUGAUGUGCGAAAGCGUGGGGAUCAAACAGGAUUAGAUACCCUGGUAGUCCACGCCGUAAACGA
Molecule: ribosomal RNA, 327 nt
Filed under: Staphylococcus aureus
Lineage: Bacteria; Bacillati; Bacillota; Bacilli; Caryophanales; Staphylococcaceae
Description: bacterial SSU rRNA
Rfam family: Bacterial small subunit ribosomal RNA
Source: RNAcentral